RNAcentral lists this ribosomal RNA (253 nucleotides) under uncultured bacterium. Its description in RNAcentral is "partial 16S ribosomal RNA". It matches the Rfam family "Bacterial small subunit ribosomal RNA", at positions 524 to 776 of the family's 1533-position model. The record is from RNAcentral.
UACAGGGGGUGCAAACGUUGCUCGGAAUUAUUGGGCGUAAAGCGCGCGUAGGCGGCUACUUAAGUCGGAUGUGAAAGCCCCUGGCUCAACUGGGGAAGUGCACCCGAAACUGAGUAGCUUGAGUGCAAAAGAGGGUCGCGGAAUUCCCGGUGUAGAGGUGAAAUUCGUAGAUAUCGGGAGGAACACCGGUGGCGAAGGCGGCGGCCUGGGUUGACACUGACGCUGAGGCGCGAAAGCCUGGGGAGCAAACAGG